AUGAGACCGCCGGAGCGCUUCGGCGAGAUAGCCGCGACGCCCCAGCCGCCCUUGUCGACGUCGGAGCUCCGGGACUGGGGUAACCUCCCGGACUUGGUGAUCACCGAUGUCCUUGACCGUCUCUUUCCAUGCCUCCGCUCGCUCUCCGCCUUCGCCGGGACCUGCCGGCCAUGGCGGCGCUUCUUCCUCGCCACCGUCGCCCCGCGCAUCCCGCCUCUCAUGCUCAGAGCCACAAGGUACACCGACGAGUCCGCCCGCUUGAUCGGCCUCUCCCCUGCCUUGAUCGGCGACCCCGUGGCCGUGCCACUGCCCGCCUUCUCAUCCAAACUCCUCUCCACAUCCCGCGGCCACCUCAUCCUUCUCAAAAGGGGUAUCACGGAGAGCGUAGCAAGCGUCGUCGACGCCUUCACCGGCGCCGAGCGCCUCGCCGUCCCGCUGCCUGACGGCUUCGCUUACCACUACGCAUCCCUCACCCCAACCCACCUGCUGCUCUUCCACACCCGCGACCACAGAUUCGACUCACUCCGCUUCCCGACCCUAAACCCCGACCCUCAGUGGACGCCCCACCGCCUUCCCCGUGGCGCCUCCUUUCUCUCAACCGUGAUCGAAUUCCACGGCCGCGUCCUUGGCGUCACCCACCGAGCGGAGCUGCUGGAGUUUCGCCUCGAUGUCAACGCUCCACGCCAUUCAUCCCAUGCGGUCCAGUUGCUGCCCACAACCGGCCUUCCGGACCCGGACGCCGCCGCCACAUUCGACCGUUUACGGUACGGACCCCGCCUAGUAGCCGCCGGCGAACGGCUGCUCCUCCUGCUGAUUAUGACGGAUCCCCCGACCCCCCUCGAGACCCGCACGGGCAUCGGGCCAAGAGUGCAGAAGGUGAGCGUGUACGCCCUCGACAUGGCGACGAUGACGUGGGAGGAGCUGGACAACAUCGGGGAGUACAGCUUGUUCGUGGACUGCCCCGGGAGAAGUGCAAUGGCAUGCGCCGAUGCGGCACGCUGCGGGGUGGUGGCCAACCGAGUCUACUUGCUCGUGUCGUCCAUGUAUUACGACUUUGGAAGACGGCCGCCCUUCCACGCGUUCGCACCAGGGCCCGGCCGCGACAAGUGCUACGAUUCGCCAUGGUCUGCGCUCAUCUCCCAUGACCGUGACUGGCCGCCGGCACACAUAUGGGUCUACCCGAGCCUCUUCUAUCAAUCAUGCGCAUCACUAUUUAUCAAAUCAGAUGAUACCUUAAACGUUGCCACAAGAACCGACUAUUGCAAUAUACUUUGA
RNAcentral lists this ribosomal RNA (1275 nucleotides) under Triticum aestivum (bread wheat). Its description in RNAcentral is "partial small subunit ribosomal RNA". Lineage: Eukaryota; Viridiplantae; Streptophyta; Magnoliopsida; Poales; Poaceae. The record is from RNAcentral.